CUUCGGUGAUGAUCUGAUGACGAGUCAGAAAUGGACACCCUCCUGCUCAGAGUAAACCACUCAGUGCCACGUUCUGUGGCGCUGUGCCAGGGUGCUCAGGCAGAGGUGUCCUGUGCCAUGGAUGAUCUAGAGGCAUUUGUCUGAGAAGG
Small nucleolar RNA from Rhineura floridana, 149 nucleotides. The record is from RefSeq and is a predicted model, not a curated record. NCBI's taxonomy places the organism in Eukaryota, Metazoa, Chordata, Lepidosauria, Squamata, Rhineuridae.